RNAcentral lists this ribosomal RNA (253 nucleotides) under uncultured bacterium. RNAcentral describes it as "partial 16S ribosomal RNA". It matches the Rfam family "Bacterial small subunit ribosomal RNA", at positions 524 to 776 of the family's 1533-position model. The record is from RNAcentral.
UACGUAGGGGGCAAGCGUUGUCCGGAUUUAUUGGGCGUAAAGAGCGUGUAGGCGGCCUGGAAGGUCAGCUGUGAAAACUCGAGGCUCAACCUCGAGACGUCGGUUGAAACCACCUGGCUAGAGUCCGGAAGAGGAGAGUGGAAUUCCCGGUGUAGCGGUGAAAUGCGUAGAUAUCGAGAGGAACACCUGCGGCGAAGGCGGGUUGCUGGGCUGAUACUGACGCUGAGGCGCGAAAGCCAGGGGAGCGAACGGG